This 460-nucleotide ribosomal RNA is filed under the name uncultured bacterium. RNAcentral describes it as "partial 16S ribosomal RNA". It matches the Rfam family "Bacterial small subunit ribosomal RNA", at positions 338 to 795 of the family's 1533-position model. The record is from RNAcentral.
CCUACGGGGUGCAGCAGUGAGGAAUAUUGGUCAAUGGACGGAAGUCUGAACCAGCCAUGCCGCGUGCAGGAAGACGGCUCUAUGAGUUGUAAACUGCUUUUGUACAAGGGUAAACCUGAAUACGUGUAUUCAGCUGAAAGUACUGUACGAAUAAGGAUCGGCUAACUCCGUGCCAGCAGCCGCGGUAAUACGGAGGAUCCAAGCGUUAUCCGGAUUUAUUGGGUUUAAAGGGUGCGUAGGCGGAUUGAUAAGUUAGAGGUGAAAUGUCCGAGCUUAACUCGGGAACUGCCUCUAAUACUGUUGAUCUAGAGAGUAGAUGCGGUAGGCGGAAUGUAUGGUGUAGCGGGGAAAUGCUUAGAGAUCAUACAGAACACCGAUUGCGAAGGCAGCUUACCAAUCUAUAUCUGACGUUGAGGCACGAAAGCGUGGGGAGCAAACAGGAUUAGAUACCCCAGUAGUC